GACGAACGCUGGCGGCGUGCCUAAUACAUGCAAGUUGAGCGAUGAAGCUUGGUGCUUGCACCAAUUUGAAGAGCAGCGAACGGGUGAGUAACGCGUGGGGAAUCUGCCUUUGAGCGGGGGACAACAUUUGGAAACGAAUGCUAAUACCGCAUAACAACUUUAAACAUAAGUUUUAAGUUUGAAAGAUGCAAUUGCAUCACUCAAAGAUGAUUCCGCGUUGUAUUAGCUAGUUGGUGAGGUAAAGGCUCACCAAGGCGAUGAUACAUAGCCGACCUGAGAGGGUGAUCGGCCACAUUGGGACUGAGACACGGCCCAAACUCCUACGGGAGGCAGCAGUAGGGAAUCUUCGGCAAUGGACGAAAGUCUGACCGAGCAACGCCGCGUGAGUGAAGAAGGUUUUCGGAUCGUAAAACUCUGUUGGUAGAGAAGAACGUUGGUGAGAGUGGAAAGCUCAUCAAGUGACGGUAACUACCCAGAAAGGGACGGCUAACUACGUG
Molecule: ribosomal RNA, 497 nt
Filed under: uncultured bacterium
Lineage: Bacteria
Description: partial 16S ribosomal RNA
Rfam family: Bacterial small subunit ribosomal RNA
Source: RNAcentral